RNAcentral lists this unclassified non-coding RNA (343 nucleotides) under soil metagenome. Its description in RNAcentral is "partial contains 5.8S ribosomal RNA, internal transcribed spacer 2, and large subunit ribosomal RNA". The stretch from base 1 to 120 matches the Rfam family "5.8S ribosomal RNA", at positions 35 to 154 of the family's 154-position model. The record is from RNAcentral.
GAUGAAGAACGCAGCGAAAUGCGAUACGUAAUGUGAAUUGCAGAAUUCAGUGAAUCAUCGAGUCUUUGAACGCACAUUGCGCCCCCUGGUAUUCCGGGGGGCAUGCCUGUCCGAGCGUCAUUGCUGCCCUCAAGCACGGCUUGUGUGUUGGGCCUCCGUCCUCCUCCCGGGGGACGGGCCCGAAAGGCAGCGGCGGCACCGCGUCCGGUCCUCGAGCGUAUGGGGCUUCGUCACCCGCUCUUGUAGGCCCGGCCGGCGCUUGCCGACACAUCAAUCUUUUUUCCAGGUUGACCUCGGAUCAGGUAGGGAUACCCGCUGAACUUAAGCAUAUCAUAAGCGGAGA